This 680-nucleotide ribosomal RNA is filed under the name uncultured bacterium. Its description in RNAcentral is "bacterial SSU rRNA". It matches the Rfam family "Bacterial small subunit ribosomal RNA", at positions 8 to 681 of the family's 1533-position model. The record is from RNAcentral.
AGAGUUUGAUCCUGGCUCAGAUUGAACGCUGGCGGCAUGCCUUACACAUGCAAGUCGAACGGCAGCACGGGAGUAAUCCUGGUGGCGAGUGGCGAACGGGUGAGUAAUAUAUCGGAACGUGCCCAGUCGUGGGGGAUAACGCAGCGAAAGCUGUGCUAAUACCGCAUACGAUCUCUGGAUGAAAGCGGGGGACUCGCAAGAGCCUCGCGCGAUUGGAGCGGCCGAUAUCAGAUUAGCUAGUUGGUGGGGUAAAGGCCCACCAAGGCGACGAUCUGUAGCUGGUCUGAGAGGACGACCAGCCACACUGGAACUGAGACACGGUCCAGACUCCUACGGGAGGCAGCAGUGGGGAAUUUUGGACAAUGGGCGCAAGCCUGAUCCAGCAAUGCCGCGUGCAGGAUGAAGGCCUUCGGGUUGUAAACUGCUUUUGUACGGAACGAAAAGGUCUGCCUUAAUACGGUGGGCCCAUGACGGUACCGUAAGAAUAAGCACCGGCUAACUACGUGCCAGCAGCCGCGGUAAUACGUAGGGUGCGAGCGUUAAUCGGAAUUACUGGGCGUAAAGCGUGCGCAGGCGGUUAUAUAAGACAGAUGUGAAAUCCCCGGGCUCAACCUGGGACCUGCAUUUGUGACUGUAUAGCUAGAGUACGGUAGAGGGGGAUGGAAUUCCGCGUGUAGCAG